AAAAUAAGAGUUCUACUUUAUAUAAGAAAUACUCCUCUAUUAUAUUGAGGAAUAUUUCUACUGCUCAAAUUAGGAAAAUGUCUCUUCAAAUCUUACUAGAAUUUUGAGUCAUAAUUCUAAUAAUAUCUACCUUGACUCAAAAAAUCAUUUAAUUAUUGCAUACUUGAAUUCUUAGAUGUCUUCAACCAUCAAAUCUUCAUAUUU
This 204-nucleotide unclassified non-coding RNA is filed under the name Hevea brasiliensis (rubber tree). Lineage: Eukaryota; Viridiplantae; Streptophyta; Magnoliopsida; Malpighiales; Euphorbiaceae. The record is from RNAcentral.